RNAcentral lists this ribosomal RNA (405 nucleotides) under uncultured bacterium. RNAcentral describes it as "bacterial SSU rRNA". It matches the Rfam family "Bacterial small subunit ribosomal RNA", at positions 37 to 433 of the family's 1533-position model. The record is from RNAcentral.
UGGCGGCGCGCCUAAUACAUGCAAGUCGAGCGAGAAGACGUAGCAAUACGUUUGUAAAGCGGCGAACGGGUGAGGAAUACAUGGGUAACCUACCUUCGAGUGGGGAAUAACUAGCCGAAAGGUUAGCUAAUACCGCAUACGACUCCUGGUCUGCGGAUCGGGAGAGAAAGCGAUACCGUGGGUAUCGCGCUCUUGGAUGGGCUCAUGUCCUAUCAGCUUGUUGGUGAGGUAACGGCUCACCAAGGCUUCGACGGGUAGCUGGUCUGAGAGGACGAUCAGCCACACUGGCACUGCGACACGGGNCAGACUCCUACGGGAGGCAGCAGUAAGGAAUAUUGCGCAAUGGGCGACAGCCUGACGCAGCGACGCCGCGUGGGGGAUGAAGGUCUUCGGAUUGUAAACCCC